GGGUUCGUGGCCUAAUGGUAAGGCGUUAGAUUUCGGUCCAAUUUUCCGGUUCUCUAAAGAUUGCAGGUUCGAUCCCUGCCGAGCUCG
Non-coding RNA from Daldinia vernicosa, 87 nucleotides. Lineage: Eukaryota; Fungi; Ascomycota; Sordariomycetes; Xylariales; Hypoxylaceae. The record is from the annotation of a RefSeq genome assembly.